UACGAGGGGGGCGAGCGUUGUUCGGAAUUAUUGGGCGUAAAGGGUGCGUAGGCGGCCUGACAAGUCUGAUGUGAAAUCCCUGGGCUCAACCCAGGGCCUGCAUCGGAAACUGUCGGGCUUGAGUAUGGGAGAGGUGAGUGGAAUUUCCGGUGUAGCGGUGAAAUGCGUAGAUAUCGGAAGGAACACCUGUGGCGAAAGCGGCUCACUGGACCAUAACUGACGCUGAUGCACGAAAGCUGGGGGAGCAAACAGG
Molecule: ribosomal RNA, 253 nt
Filed under: uncultured bacterium
Lineage: Bacteria
Description: partial 16S ribosomal RNA
Rfam family: Bacterial small subunit ribosomal RNA
Source: RNAcentral